UUAGUGGAAGCGUCUGGAAAGGCGCGCGAUACAGGGUGACAGCCCCGUACACAAAAGCGCAUGUGCUGUGAGCUCGAUGAGUAGGGCGGGACACGUGGUAUCCUGUCUGAAUAUGGGGGGACCAUCCUCCAAGGCUAAAUACUCCUGACUGACCGAUAGUGAACCAGUACCGUGAGGGAAAGGCGAAAAGAACCCCGGCGAGGGGAGUGAAAAAGAACCUGAAACCGUGUACGUACAAGCAGUGGGAGCCCCACCACCAAAGCAUUCUCUGGUGUUGAAGGCCCUGCAAAGCAGCAUCGCGGUGGCGGAGCGUCGUUUGCGACGCCCAACACACAAAACAAGCGGUGAGUGCUUUGGGGUGGGGUGACUGCGUACCUUUUGUAUAAUGGGUCAGCGACUUAUAUUCUGUAGCAAGGUUAACCGAAUAGGGGAGCCGGAGGGAAACCGAGUCUUAAUUGGGCGUUAAGUUGCAGGGUAUAGACCCGAAACCCGGUGAUCUAGCCAUGGGCAGGUUGAAGGUUGGGUAACACUAACUGGAGGACCGAACCGACUAAUGUUGAAAAAUUAGCGGAUGACCUGUGGCUGGGGGUGAAAGGCCAAUCAAACCGGGAGAUAGCUGGUUCUCCCCGAAAGCUAUUUAGGUAGCGCCUCGUGAAUUCAUCUCCGGGGGUAGAGCACUGUUUCGGCU
RNAcentral lists this ribosomal RNA (688 nucleotides) under Salmonella enterica subsp. enterica serovar Infantis. Its description in RNAcentral is "partial 23S ribosomal RNA". It matches the Rfam family "Bacterial large subunit ribosomal RNA", at positions 329 to 920 of the family's 2925-position model. Lineage: Bacteria; Pseudomonadati; Pseudomonadota; Gammaproteobacteria; Enterobacterales; Enterobacteriaceae. The record is from RNAcentral.